CGGGGGGCGUCCUGGCGCGGCUUCUUACGACAGCAGGAAACUGGACUCGGGGCCCGCACGCAGUCCCGGCUCGAAGCGCCCCAUGCGCCCCGCGGGGACCCGCAGGCAGGGCUGGCGGCUCCCUACGGCUGCUACCCUCGCGCCCUCUUCGCGCCUCCCUCCCUGCGGCCCGCCUCGCAGUGCACUCGCGCCGGCCUCGGCUCGCUGCAGCCGCCUCCGGGUGGGCGGAGGGAGCAGCGGCGCCUAGGCCGGCGGCGCCCCCUACCGGGCUCGUGCCCCCCGCCGGCCUGCGGGAGACCAAGCUUUGGGGUUCCCGCAGAGGCCGGGAAGCGGCGGGCGGCCGUGGACCAAGGCUGGGACGGCAGCGCCACCCUCUGGGCCAGGGACCCCGGGACGUCUAAGGCUCUGGGAACACCUUCUUGCCUUCCUGUAAGAUUUGUCAGCCUGACUAGUGAAAGUUGCCCCACCUUGAUCUAGGCCAGUGUUGGAGCAGUAAUUAAUGAAGUUGUAUUGCAAUAAUGCAGAUUUACAGAGUGACUGGCAGAUUCAGCUUCAGAAGAGUUGUCUUGGGUUGUUUUUACCGUAGACACAAAUGCAGGCUCCUGAUGUUUGGUAUGAUCAAUAUCAAACUGCCUGACAAACAUCAAAAACGGUGGACUUGUCUCUAAGGACCAAUGGUCAGGGGAGGGGCAGUAUUAAUUAAGCAACCGUGGCUUUGGCUUGAAGGGUAGUCUGUAGUGCAGAGGAUACAGUUAGUUUUUACAGCUGACCCCUAGUAUACGGAAGAACCACGUACAUCCAAGGUUUCUGGACAGGGGCUAAGACAAUAGUCGUUUGUUCACUUAUUUUGGGGGAUUUCGGACCAAACAUACUCUGUACCUGCCUUUUUACUAUAUAUCCCCCGUCGGUGUGGUGGGAGACUAAGCCUAUGUCCCACAGAGGAAAUGAAUGGAGAGUUUACUAGUUUCAGACCAAGUCAACAGUCAACACGAAAAUGUAAGAGGAAAAAAAAAAACUGACCCUGGAAAUUAAUUGUCUGGGUUAGCCAUCCUGACAUAUCCUAAUGUAUUGCAAAGACAUCCUGUCUCAGUUAAUUAAUCUCAAAAACAGAAGAACUAAUUCUUGCCCAGAAAUCUCUCAGAGUUGCUGUGAAGAUCAAGCAAGAUUAUGUAUGGGGACAGCACCCUAAAUUGUAAAGUGCUUUGCCAAGGUCAGGUGUCAUUAUUGGAGUGACUAAAUAAAUUGGGCCAUUACGAAUAUCACCCUUUGUCUCGUCUUGUGAAGAGACAAAGUAAACGGAUUGCUGUUAGCAGAGAGUUAAAUAAGGUUGUCAUAGGAUUUGAAAUGAAAGUAAUGAUACACUUUUCCCUUAAGAUAGCCUUCUACCCAUCGCCUGUCACCCAGUCUAGAACUGUGAUUUCUUAAACCCUAGCUCCGUCUAGUGGUUCUUUGUUCUAUUACAAAUGAGAUAACACAGUGGUUGAAGAGAACUUGACUCUCAAAUGCAUUUGGUGCUGAGCUGAGCCAGUUUGGUGCCUAUCGACUUCAUUUAAAUAAGUUCAUUUAAAUAAGGUUUUUAAAGUUGUGUUAUCGCACAAACAUGCCAAGGGAAGAUUUUUCAUGACAAUAUUAAAAACCCAUCAAGAAACUUCAUAAUCCUGCUUGUGAAAGGAAGAUAAAGAAAAUAAUGCGGAGGGGAAAACUAUCAUAGAGUUAAUAAAAUUUGUAAGGUUUUAAUGAGCUCUCAUGUUCUAUGGCUUAGAUAAAAAAGGAAACAGAUGAUAUUAGUUUGAGAUGAGAGAUGUUAAAGCCUUGGUGGGCUACCUGAUAAGAAAAAGAAAUGAGAUGUCUUCUAUUUUAAAUGUACUACUGAAAUGGAUCUCAACAUGGACUGUGCGUGCGUGUGUGUGUGCAUGCGUGUGUGUGUGUGUAUUGGCACCUUUUUGAAUACUACAAUUUUUAGUGGCACACUUGAAGAAAUUAAAAGACCUAAAACAAAGUAGUGCUACUACAAAGUGGUCCUUUUUUUAAAGUUUUAAACCUCCAGAUUGUGUGCCAUAACACGAUCACAUUAUUUCAUAUCUUUUUGCUUAAAUAAGACUGGAUGCUUAUAAAAGCACUGUUAUACUGUGUUAUGGCACUUUAAGUACUUGCUUAGAAAUGAUCAUUUCUUCAUUGUGUGCUUCUUAAGAGUGUUUCUGGUCAGUCACCUUUCCUUUCAAGGUCUUCCUUAUUCAAACUAACUAAGGUGGCUUUUAGGUCAAGAUCACAGUCAUUACCUGGGGAUGCAAGAGGAAGAUAAUUACUACGUGAACAGCACAAUGAACUGUUUUUGCCAUAAAAAAAAAAAAAAAGCUGGAGGUGUUCAUGAUUUUUAAAUAAAAUAAAUAUUUAAGAGUUAAAUUGUUCAAAAGUCAGCAAUCUUUCAUCACAAUGUGAGUGUCUCACGGUGUCUGUGGAGGUACAUCCAGUUUUUUCCCCCAUUCCCUUGGUUCACUCACAACACAUCUGACUGUAGGAAUAGAAUCACAUUCUGCCCUGUCCACAGCCACAUCCUCAAUAUUCCAGUAAACACUCCCUCUUUCUUGGUGCUAGUUGACAGGAUACUGUGCUUCUUACCUUUUACUUGCCACCUUCUGUUCCCUCCUUAACAUUGAGUUCCAGCACCUGCUCAACUUAAAAGUUCUGUCUGAGAUCUACCUCUGUAAUAUAGGAAUCUCAGUUAGAGUAAAUUUUAAUCUUACAGAUUUGUCGAAACUUGGUUACAGAUUCGUGAAGGAUUCACAAUAUACCAGUGUACCUUGGAAAACAGUUGAGAACGCUUAUAUUUUUGCAUAACAUACAAAGCCACUCCUUCAUUUAAAGGGACAACUUUAGAUAACUGUGACCACAGUUCCAAUUCAACUGCCUCUAUCCAUCUGUGCGGAAAAUGUAGCCCAUUUUCUGCAGGGAUACAGAGUUCAGAUACAGAGUUGGAAAUAAAUUCUAAAAUGUGAGUCUACUGCUUCUAGGCUUCUUUCCUCCUCAGGGGCUCUCCUCCUGUAUCCCUCAGCAUUUUGUUUACCCCUUAGCUAUAAGAUGUGUUUAUGUCUGUAUCAUGCUGUAGAUUAUGUCUGUAUCACGCUCCUUGAAACAAAGACACACUAUAACUCUCUUUGUUCUCAUAAAUGCUAUUAAGCUACACUGUAGUUAGUGAGUUCACAAAUGUAAUAGAUAGUGAUGGAGGCAUAAUGCUAUAGGGAGAAUAUGGAGAUGGUGGUCUGCAGAUUGGCUGGGAAAAGAGUCCAGGAGAUGACAGAAAAAUCUCUCCCCGCAACAACAACAACAACAACAAGUCUAUCCGCCGGGCGCGGUGGCUCAAGCCUGUAAUCCCAGCACUUUGGGAGGCCGAGACGGGUGGAUCACGAGGUCAGGAGAUCAAGACCAUCCUGGCUAACACGGUGAAACCCUGUCUCUACUAAAAAAAUACAAAAAAACUAGCCGGGCGAGGUGGCGGUCGCCUGUAGUCCCAACUACUCGGGAGGCUGAGGCAAGAGAAUGGCGUAAACCCGGGAGGCGGAGCUUGCAGUGAGCCGAGGUUGCGCCACUGCACUCCAGCCUGGGCGACAGAGCGAGACUCCGUCUCAAAAAAAAAACAAAAAAACAAAAAAACAAAAAAACAAGUCUACCAAACGAAGAGGAUGACAAUGCCACACAUCAGAAGAGGCAAAUGGUAUCAUAUAAAGACAGGAACUUCAUUUUUCCUUCCAUUAAGACUACAAGGUGUGGGUGACAGAUUUUCGAAAGCCAGGAACCUCUCUAACGUAGGAAAGUUGCCUGUGAGUCCUAGAAGGUCUGAGAGCUGGAAGCGGCAGGCCACAGAUGCAUCAUCAUGAGCAACUUAAGUGGAGGAGAAAUUGAACAUAGAGGCGACUUCACUAUUCAGCCACCAUGAGUGAAAUAUCUAAAUAUCUAAAAGUGGAGAGGAAUUUGCAGCAUGAGAAAUUUCAGCUUCUAUAGCCCAAUGACUGACUGACUUCUUGUAUGUAAUUUCUGUUAACAAAACUUCUAUUUGAAUCAACUUAUAGGAAGAAUGUUGGGCAGACUAAAUACAUUGAAAAAAAUGAUUCCCUACUAUAGAUGUAUCUCCCCAGUGUUGGGAGAAGGGACAGAAUCUGCUUCAAAGGAAAUACUAGUCCCUGAAUUCGAUUGACUAGGGGCAAAGAAUGCACUGAUGUGGGUCUACACUUACCCAUGGCUAACCCAACAGACAGUGUGAAGCGUUUGUAGAAUUGAGUUAUAUCCUUCCAAGUGCCCUAAGCUAUUCUUCCUUCUCAUUUCCUCUAAACAAAAGAGAAAAGGAUCUUUUAUCACACCCUUCCCUCAGUGGGAAAUAAUUAAAAGUCAUUUACAACAGUCUCAUUUUAUUAUAACAAACAUUUGCAUGGUGUCUAGUAUAUAGCAGACACUGGGAUAGGUUCUAAGGAUUAAAAGAUGGUUAUGACUGGCAC
Molecule: long non-coding RNA, 4490 nt
Organism: Papio anubis (olive baboon)
Lineage: Eukaryota; Metazoa; Chordata; Mammalia; Primates; Cercopithecidae
Source: Ensembl